AUGAGGAAACUGAGGUUUACAGAAACUGAGUAACUUCGCCAAAUCCAUAUCCUUCAUAAAUGGUGUAGUUGGGGCUGCAAGCCAUGCCUAACUGGCCUUGGAGACCAGGUCUCAGCUUAGAUGCUGCUUUUUCAAGAAAGCCAUUCAUAUCUGCCUAGCCUUGGGCAGAAUCUCACUCUGUUGCCAAGAUGGAGUGCAAUGGCAUGAUCUUGGCUCACUGCAACCUCCGCCUCCCAGGUUCAAGCAAUUCUCCUGCCUCAGCCUCCUGAGUAGCUGGGACUACAGACAGGGUCUCACCAUGUUGCCCAGGCUGGUCUUGAUCUCCUGAGUUCAAACAAUCUGCUUGUCUUGGCCUCCCAAAGUGCUGGGAUUACAGAUGUGAGCCACUGUAGCUGGCUUCAAGGCAGUCUUAAGUGCAGUCCUGAAAAACUGAUGAAGUUCCAGAAAGCUCAGCAGGAGUAUAUUUUCAUAACUGGCUGAGAAGAGCCUGAAAAUUUUUAAGUGGUGAUAAGAACAAACAAGAUUCAGAGACCAAGAUGAUGCCAAGCAUGAAGAAUUUUUACUCAACUCAUACAGAACCUGAAAAGAGACAUUCUAGUGAGGCUGGAGGAUUGGGAAUUGGGAGAAGAGACCAACAGUGGGCUGUUAGAGUGAGAGAGAGAGAGAGAGAGAGAGAAAGAUCGUGCCGAAAAUCUUCCCCAAGCAAGAACAUCUCUGGUCAUUUCCUUGACCUUUUUGGAUAAAGUCUUACCUUGCAGAUUCAGCAUAAAUCACCUUUCCAUGUCCUCUCUCUGUGGGCGGUGUGUGGAGGUGCGAGGAGCAGGCACUGAAGCCAAAGAAAUCAGUUCUCAUUACUCACUGGCCUCCCUUGUUAUCUGAGUUUCUGAUGAGGAAUAGAAAAUUUUUGGUCUUACUCAAUGCAUGAUUUUGCUAAGGCUGUGUCGAGAAGUCAUCGAAAUAACUAGAUGAAAGCAAACAGUCUUGGCCAACCCACUUACUGUUUUAUUUUCACUAGCAGUUUUCUGGAUUAGGUGCCUCAGCUGUCUCUAUGAGGGCAAAGAUCUAUGACCCACUGACUCCCUUUGUCUCUUUCCACAGACACCUUACACUCUACCCCACAUUUACACCCACCCCACACUCCCAUUCUCAUCGCUACUCCACCCUUUCCAUAGGGGAAGUAGUAUUUGACCUCUGCUUCAGUUGGUUCCCCUGCCUAUUAUUUCAACUGGAAUAGGGCAGGGGAAGUCACAUCUGGGGACAGGAUGGGACCUUUGGGCCACUGCUUCAUUUCUCUUGGGCCCAUGAAUCAAUGAAGAGGAGAAAGUCAUUGAGAAGCAUUUGGGCACCUGCAGAUAUGAUCAGUGGCAACAGCAGUUUGGCGAUUCUGCCUGAGGUGUUUGAAUACGGCUUAAAUUCCCCUCAAAGUAGACAGUUCUUAUUCCAUUUGUCUUUUUCUCCUAAGUGGCUGCACCUUUCUCAGGGACCUCCAUAUGCCAGCUUUCCAUUCUGGAUAUGCCAAUUAUUUGCCAGAUCUUUCUGACUGAUCACAAGUACAGUACGGGGCCACUCUUUAAGAAUCACUAGUCCUUAAAACAUUUAAAAAUAGUUGACUUUGUUUUUCUACUGAAUUGCCUGAAUGAAAGUUUUGAGAAAAUAUUUUGUCAUAGUCAUAAAUUAGUUUUAAGUCUAAAUCUUACCCAUUGGUGGCUCAAGUGUUUUUAGAUACUGGUCAUUGUCAUCAUUGCUUCUUAUCUCACUAACGGUACUAAAUUACCCCCGCCACUGGUGUCAGAAGCCUCCUAGCAGGUCUCACUGAUGCCAAUUUCUGCCUCCCCAAUUCAUAACUCUGGCUCUCUGCUUAGAUUGUUGCUUUUUGCAGGUUCCUUCCAUGCUUAACUGCCCACAACAGGUCUCUACUGCCCUUCAUAUCAAGUGCAGACUAUCUGGCUGGUAUUCAAAGAUGCUCAUAAGCUGUUUCCACCCUCCCUCCCUUCCCUUCUUUGCCAUCACUUCCCAACAUGUACAUUCCAUUCUAAUCCAAAGAGUCAUUUCUUUAUCUUGAACUAUGUUCCCAUGUUCAAAUUUUAUUUUUCUGCUGCUUCCUCUUCUUGGAUAGUUCUUCUUCCAUUCUUUCAACUGGCCCAAGUACUAAUAAUAUUUAAAAUGUUACUCAAAUCCAGCAUCCGUCUUAAAGUCUUGAAUGAGUUUUCAGUAUCAACCAUCGGAUCUCUAUUGCAGUGGCUGUAAUUUCAUUGUAAAGAUGUUUUAUUCAUUUAAAGUUAACUCAUAUUUGUGGGGCAAUAAAUACUAC
This is a long non-coding RNA of Pan troglodytes (chimpanzee), 2311 nucleotides long. RefSeq lists it as uncharacterized. The transcript has 5 exons. Lineage: Eukaryota; Metazoa; Chordata; Mammalia; Primates; Hominidae. The record is from RefSeq and is a predicted model, not a curated record.